RNAcentral lists this ribosomal RNA (815 nucleotides) under Lodderomyces parapsilosis. RNAcentral describes it as "LSU rRNA". It matches the Rfam family "Eukaryotic large subunit ribosomal RNA", at positions 1 to 755 of the family's 3401-position model. The record is from RNAcentral. Lineage: Eukaryota; Fungi; Ascomycota; Pichiomycetes; Serinales; Debaryomycetaceae.
UUGAAAGAAAGGCGGAGUAUAAACUAAUGGAUAGGUUUUUUCCACUCAUUGGUACAAACUCCAAAACUUCUUCCAAAUUCGACCUCAAAUCAGGUAGGACUACCCGCUGAACUUAAGCAUAUCAAUAAGCCGGAGGAAAAGAAACCAACAGGAUUGCCUUAGUAGCGGCGAGUGAAGCGGCAAAAGCUCAAAUUUGAAAUCUGGCACUUUCAGUGUCCGAGUUGUAAUUUGAAGAAGGUAUCUUUGGGUCUGGCUCUUGUCUAUGUUUCUUGGAACAGAACGUCACAGAGGGUGAGAAUCCCGUGCGAUGAGAUGUCCCAGACCUAUGUAAAGUUCCUUCGAAGAGUCGAGUUGUUUGGGAAUGCAGCUCUAAGUGGGUGGUAAAUUCCAUCUAAAGCUAAAUAUUGGCGAGAGACCGAUAGCGAACAAGUACAGUGAUGGAAAGAUGAAAAGAACUUUGAAAAGAGAGUGAAAAAGUACGUGAAAUUGUUGAAAGGGAAGGGCUUGAGAUCAGACUUGGUAUUUUGUAUGUUACUCUCUCGGGGGUGGCCUCUACAGUUUACCGGGCCAGCAUCAGUUUGAGCGGUAGGAUAAGUGCAAAGAAAUGUGGCACUGCUUCGGUAGUGUGUUAUAGUCUUUGUCGAUACUGCCAGCUUAGACUGAGGACUGCGGCUUCGGCCUAGGAUGUUGGCAUAAUGAUCUUAAGUCGCCCGUCUUGAAACACGGACCAAGGAGUCUAACGUCUAUGCGAGUGUUUGGGUGUAAAACCCGUACGCGUAAUGAAAGUGAACGUAGGUAGGACCUCCCUUUAGGAG